RNAcentral lists this ribosomal RNA (378 nucleotides) under uncultured eukaryote. RNAcentral describes it as "SSU rRNA". It matches the Rfam family "Eukaryotic small subunit ribosomal RNA", at positions 587 to 969 of the family's 1831-position model. The record is from RNAcentral.
AGCUCCAAUCUCGUAUAUUAAAGUUGUUGUGGUUAAAAAGCUCGUAGUUGGAUCUCAACAGACUUGGAUCGGUUUACUUUGUGUAAUACUGAUCCAAAGCUGUGCUUUUGUCAGAGGUUUAGCGGUGCUCUUAACCGAGUGUCGCUGAGUGCUGACAGGUUUACUUUGAAAAAAUUAGAGUGCUCAAAGCAGGCUUUUACGCCUGAAUAUUCGUGCAUGGAAUAAUAGAAUAGGAAGUCGUUUCUAUUUUGUUGGUUUUCGGAAAUCGACUUAAUGAUUAAUAGGGACAGUCGGGGGCAUUUGUAUUCAAACGACAGAGGUGAAAUUCUUGGACCGUUUGAAGACAAACUACUGCGAAAGCAUUUGCCAAGAAUGUUU